RNAcentral lists this unclassified non-coding RNA (308 nucleotides) under Basidiomycota sp. RNAcentral's name for it is "partial contains small subunit ribosomal RNA, internal transcribed spacer 1, and 5.8S ribosomal RNA". The stretch from base 1 to 47 matches the Rfam family "Eukaryotic small subunit ribosomal RNA", at positions 1785 to 1831 of the family's 1831-position model. The record is from RNAcentral. Lineage: Eukaryota; Fungi; Basidiomycota.
AAAGUCGUAACAAGGUUUCCGUAGGUGAACCUGCGGAAGGAUCAUUAUUGAAUAAACUUGGUUAGGUUGUUGCUGGCUCUUAGGAGCAUGUGCACGCCGACUCCAUUUUUAACCACCUGUGCACCUUGCGUAGAUCUGAUACUCUCGAGGAAACUCGGUUUGAGAAUUGCUGUGCAACAAAAGGCCAGCUCUUCUUGUAUUCAGGUCUAUGUUUCUACAUACCCCACAUGAAUGUAUUUUGAAUGUCGUCAUUGGCCUUGUGCCUUUAAAAACAAAUACAACUUUCAACAACGGAUCUCUUGGCUCUC